This is a long non-coding RNA of Brassica napus (rape), 2965 nucleotides long. RefSeq lists it as uncharacterized. The transcript is spliced from 3 exons. The record is from RefSeq and is a predicted model, not a curated record. NCBI's taxonomy places the organism in Eukaryota, Viridiplantae, Streptophyta, Magnoliopsida, Brassicales, Brassicaceae.
UAUAUAAAGAACACUUUCAAUCUCUCCUGGUGGUGACAGCUCAGAUUCCACGUCAGAAAUAGGAAGUCUACAGCGUUGACACGUCGGAUCCGCACCGUUUCACUAAAGCGUUGCUCUGUCCGAACGGGCUUCACGUGGGCUUCGUCACGCUCUAAUCAAAUGUUUUCUGUCGCGAGGCCCGUCCGCAUACGUCUUCUACGGGGAACCCUAAACAGAUGCUCCCUUCCUGUUCUUCGUUCGUCGCCUAUCGCCGCAGCGGCUGUCUAGAACCUGUAACGGUUUUGCUUUCAAUCACCUUAAAUCGUCUUUAAUUCACCAAUAAUGGAGUUUCAAGAGGAUGUAGUCUCGAAGAAUCUAUGUAAGAAGCUUCGUUUGCGUCUUUACGCCUUCCUUUCUAAUCCUUUGAAACGUUAAUGGUUAUUUAUUCAUGGUUGUCUAAUCUCUGCAAGUUGGUCUCUCAGCACCUAUAAAAGCUGCAACACAAGAAGUUGCGAUGAACGGAGUCCUCAUCGGUUUGAAUCAGCCCUAGGGACGACAGAGUCGCGGAGAUCUUCGAUUCCGUACCUCUCAUUCCUCCUCUCGAGAUCUCUCGCUCAUCAUGUUAGAGGAGCAUUACGUGGCUAUGUGAGGAGAUGGAGUUGAGAUGAGGAUGCUAGCUCUUACAGCUUUGGAUGUUCUACGGUUCGUCAGAUUUUUACAAUUGAUAUAGGUUUUUGUGUGUUUGAGUGAACUUUUGACGCUGAGGAUAUGCAAGAGUUCAAUGUCUAGCAUGCAGGACAGCAGAUGACUUAUUGCAAUAAGCUGGCUAGACUUGAUGGAGUUCCAUACCGUGAUUUCACUGGAUAGGUCUUUGGUUUUUUUUUUUGGAAAAAAAAAAAAUUGUAGUUUGCAUUUUAGGGGUUAACAUGUUAAACUCAAGCAUCUUUCUUAGUUGUUGUUUGCCUUGCGCUGUUGGCAGGAGAGGAUUUGACUAUUCUCUAUGGGUUCGAAUGUAAGGAUAAUGUUUUAGACCAACACACAAAACCCACCGGGUCAUAUAAACGAACAGUGUCACUUACCAAAUAACCAAAAAUUUAGCAAAACACCCUUACAAAGCUGCAGCGCAACAUAGCGUCCCAAUAAAAGCCACCCUCAAGAACUGCAUACUAACCUCCCUGCAACCCAUGUUAGUCAGGAUAGUUGUUUGCUUGAACUCUGACCUCACAGCACCUUCUGUUUUCUUUUUAUCAGCACCUACAACAACUAAAACAAUGGAAUCAAAAGCAGAGCUUGAAGGUCAUUUGUUUGAAUCAUCAACCUUAAACUGUUGCUAUUAAACCAAUAUAAACCCAGUAAGGACUACAUUAUUACUUUUUAAAAAUUAGAAAUCACCCAACAAUUAUGUUGUCAACGCUUAAAACACAUUUAUAUUAAAAGGAACCGUCAAAUUCCUUUAAAAAAAUAAUAAUUUCAGUCCACUAUGGAAACCAUGGUAUACUUCUUAUUGAACCAAAUGACGUGUCGAAGUGUCGAACCCGGACAUGGAACCAUGACCAUGGGUAACAAAAACUCAAAAUACAUGUGUUAAUAACGAAGCCAUUACACAAUCCACACAUCACAUAUCAAACAUACAAUAGUACAAGCUUCUGUUGGGGCGUUAGAAUAGCGCAAAGAAACAAAAAAAAAAAGAAGAUUUUGAACAACCUAGCCAUAACAAAAUACCGCUUGCAAUCGUUUUUAAAUUGUGCUUUAAGGUUUUAAGCAACAAAUGCCACUGACCGACAAAUAAACAACAGACCUGGGAAACUGUGAGCUUACCACGUCUCUCAAUUUUCUCAACACCAGUUUCAAGGUCAUAGAAAGUAUAGACCAGUUUCAAUUUUCUUUAAUAUGAUGCAUUUGUAAAAUAAACAAAAGAGUUUUUUUGGUUGAAUAAAUUUAAAAUUCAAUUCAUGAAAAGGAAAAAUUUCUCAACACCUCAUAACCCGUGCAAUAUGAAUAACACAGUGUGUUGACCCCGCACGUUGCAGCCCACGACCGCAGUCAGAAGUGCCGAAAAUCCUACACUCCACUGAUUUAGGUGGAGAUAUUAUGGUGCGUAGACUGCCAACUAAAAGUUUGAUUAUGGAAUAUGUGACAUGUUCCGAUCUCCCAACGACGACAAUGGCUGCAUGUGACUUAGAUUCCAUCUGAAAUAACAAAUAGAAGUUCCACAUGUAGGCUUAUGUCAAAGCUUAUGAUCUCCUUAUUUCUCACACAAAUGAGGAACUACAACAAUGAGGCUGUAAAAAGGGAGGACUAACCCGCCUAGAUUCUAAAUACAUGGAUCAUUAAACAUCAUUUUAGAGAAUGUAACCACCAAACUUCACAGUUCAUGUUAUUGCCACAAAGAAAUCUUUAAAGACGUCCGGAUGACCAAGGUUAGAGCUACACAUUUUUAUAUACCCGAGUCUGUUUGCAGUGAAUAAUUGUCGUAAUUUUCAUUGCAUAUUUGAUAUUGGGACGACUCAUUUCUCUCAGUGAACGGAGAGACACAGCGUAAGCGUCGAAGUGGACAAGUUCUUCUGUAAUCCCGAUCUUAUUUUUAAAAUUUUAAUAACAGUUUAAUCUCAGGACAUACAGUCAUUUAGUUGGUGACCUUAUUACACUUACUCAAAACAUCGUCUACGGAUACUCGCAUUGUAUCGUUUAUAUAGUCUAUCCUCUGAUUUGGGUUUAUGUGCUUCAAAUAUUUUUUAAAUGAAAAUACUCAAAUAACACUAAUAUAUAGGUUUAUAAAAUAUAUAUGUUUACAUACACGCAUAAAUAUAGUAGCAAUUUUUUCAGAACAGAAAACUAAUCUGCACACAUAUAAUAUAGAUAGAUACAUAUAUAAUUAAACAAUUCAUUCCAACGAAACAAUUAAAAUUAAAUUAUUUCAUACGGAGAAGAAAAAAAAAACAUAGUAUCCGUUCCUUUGUCAUUACCAUUGAAACACUAUUUAAUU